Molecule: ribosomal RNA, 492 nt
Filed under: uncultured bacterium
Lineage: Bacteria
Description: partial 16S ribosomal RNA
Rfam family: Bacterial small subunit ribosomal RNA
Source: RNAcentral
GAUGAACGCUAGCUACAGGCUUAACACAUGCAAGUCGAGGGGAAACGACAUCGAAAGCUUGCUUUUGAUGGGCGUCGACCGGCGCACGGGUGAGUAACGCGUAUCCAACCUGCCCAUCACUUGGGAAUAACCUUGCGAAAGUAAGACUAAUACCCAAUGACAUCCCACGAAGACAUCUGAAUGGGAUUAAAGAUUUAUCGGUGAUGGAUGGGGAUGCGUCUGAUUAGCUUGUUGGCGGGGUAACGGCCUACCAAGGCAACGAUCAGUAGGGGUUCUGAGAGGAAGGUCCCCCACAUUGGAACUGAGACACGGUCCAAACUCCUACGGGAGGCAGCAGUGAGGAAGAUUGGUCAAUGGGCGAGAGCCUGAACCAGCCAAGUAGCGUGCAGGAUGACGGCCCUAUGGGUUGUAAACUGCUUUUAGAAGGGAAUAAAGUGGGUCUCGGGAGACUUUUUGCAUGUACCUUAUGAAUAAGGACCGGCUAAUUCCGUG